This 497-nucleotide ribosomal RNA is filed under the name uncultured bacterium. RNAcentral's name for it is "partial 16S ribosomal RNA". It matches the Rfam family "Bacterial small subunit ribosomal RNA", at positions 28 to 507 of the family's 1533-position model. The record is from RNAcentral.
GAUGAACGCUGGCGGCGUGCCUAAUACAUGCAAGUCGAGCGAACGGACGAGAAGCUUGCUUCUCUGAUGUUAGCGGCGGACGGGUGAGUAACACGUGGAUAACCUACCUAUAAGACUGGGAUAACUUCGGGAAACCGGAUCUAAUACAGGAUAAUAUUUUGAACCGCAUGGUUCAAAAGUGAAAGCCGGUCUUGCUGUCACUAAUAGGGGGAUCCGCGCUGCAUUAGCUAGUUGGUAAGGUAACGGCUUACCAAGGCAACGAUGCAUAGCCGACCUGAGAGGGUGAUCGGCCACACUGGAACUGAGACACGGUCCAGACUCCUACGGGAGGCAGCAGUAGGGAAUCUUCCGCAAUGGGCGAAAGCCUGACGGAGCAACGCCGCGUGAGUGAUGAAGGUCUUCGGAUCGUAAAACUCUGUUAUUUGGGAAGAACAUAUGUGUAAGUAACUGUGCACAUCUUGACGGUACCUAAUCAGAAAGCCACGGCUAACUACGUG